AUUGAACGCUGGCGGCAUGCCUUACACAUGCAAGUCGAACGGUAACGGGCCUUCGGGUGCCGACGAGUAGCGCACGGGUGAGUAAUACAUCGGAACGUGCCCGAUCGUGGGGGAUAACGAGGCGAAAGCUUUGCUAAUACCGCAUACGAUCUACGGAUGAAAGCAGGGGACCGCAAGGCCUUGCGCGGACGGAGCGGCCGAUGGCAGAUUAGGUAGUUGGUGGGAUAAAAGCUUACCAAGCCGACGAUCUGUAGCUGGUCUGAGAGGAUGAUCAGCCACACUGGGACUGAGACACGGCCCAGACUCCUACGGGAGGCAGCAGUGGGGAAUUUUGGACAAUGGGCGCAAGCCUGAUCCAGCCAUGCCGCGUGCAGGAUGAAGGCCUUCGGGUUGUAAACUGCUUUUGUACGGGACGAAAAGCCUUCUUUUAAUACAGGAGGGUCAUGACGGUACCGUAAGAAUAAGCACCGGCUAACUACGUG
RNAcentral lists this ribosomal RNA (482 nucleotides) under uncultured bacterium. RNAcentral describes it as "partial 16S ribosomal RNA". It matches the Rfam family "Bacterial small subunit ribosomal RNA", at positions 30 to 507 of the family's 1533-position model. The record is from RNAcentral.